Non-coding RNA from Pogona vitticeps (central bearded dragon), 862 nucleotides. The record is from RefSeq and is a predicted model, not a curated record. Lineage: Eukaryota; Metazoa; Chordata; Lepidosauria; Squamata; Agamidae.
CCUUGCUUGCGAAAUCGGCCUCCGGAACUUGGGCGGCCGAGCCCCUUCGGCUGCAGCUUUAUCACAGCCCCUCUCAUAGACCGAGUGGAAGAGAUUUUCAUACUUCCCCUGGUCUGCAAAUUCGCUUGCCUUGUCCUGCCAUUGGUCUUCUGAAGGCCGCAUGUGUUUCAUAGAGAGAGAAAAAAACUUUUAAAUCUUCUGCUUCUGAAAAGGAUAUCAGCACAUCAAGUAACAAGAGGUCAGCCUGAAAGCAGCCCCACUAGCCUUGAGCUGUGUGGACCGAAGUUCUGAGCUGGUAUAAGACAACAUUUUGCAUUUUAUAUGGUCCUCUUUUUCUGUUUUUCUUUCCCAUCCCCUCCAGUUCUUUCCAGAGACAACAUUCUCCCACUUCCACCCAACAUCUUUUCUUAAUCCAGAUUUUAAUGUUAGAAUGCCUAGAAGGCUUAAGGGUACUUCCAGAUGGAUGACUCUUAGUGCUACCAAUUAAAUCACAUUGUGCAGCUAUUCCAUCUCUCCCUCCUUUUUUGUGGUAAGAGAGAAGAUGCAAGAAGCAUUGGGAAGACAUGGGUGGGUUAUAUAUGUAAGAUAAUGAUGCUGUCUGCUUCCAAACCCCAUAAAAUUCUUCUAAGAGACAGUAAAAGCCUUGCCUGAAAGCACCAUUGGAGCAAGUUACAGCAUUUUGGUACUAAAACGGUAACAUACAGUCAAUGACACAAGAUGAAAAGUCCUGCCCUUCUUCCAUGAACUCUGUUCAACAAUGAACGAGCCUUGCUGAAGCAGAUCAAAAGCCUGAACUAGCUCAAGGUUUUGUUCACUCUGCAGCCAACCAGUUGCCCGUGGAAGUGUUUUCCAAUCUUGGACC